Amphimedon queenslandica is the source of this 395-nucleotide long non-coding RNA. RefSeq lists it as uncharacterized. The transcript is spliced from 2 exons. The record is from RefSeq and is a predicted model, not a curated record. NCBI's taxonomy places the organism in Eukaryota, Metazoa, Porifera, Demospongiae, Haplosclerida, Niphatidae.
UUCCACCAGUUAAUAGUAUUUCUUUUAUUUGAGUGUGUCCUCCUUCAUUAGCUAUCUCUACUGCACUCUUUCCUCUCUCAUCUUUACUGUUAGGAUCAGCUCUUAACUGCAGUAGCAUUGAUACUUCAAAACUAUCACCAGCUUUAACUGAUUCAUGAAGUGAAGUGUUGAAAUCAUUAUCAUUUUCUCUUCUGAUAGGAAUUGCAUCCUUGUCAACAGCAACUUUCAAUAUUCCUAAUCUACUCAUUGAUUCUUUAUUGUUAUUGAUAGCAUCAAUAAGAGACUGUGAUAGUGAGUGAAAAUAUCUGUCACAAUAUGGCCAAAGUAGUAUUGAAGAACUCUUUUAAAGUUUGUUAGAGUCAUUUCUUCCCAUCUGUCAUUCAGUUUAAUAACGA